Molecule: unclassified non-coding RNA, 150 nt
Filed under: soil metagenome
Description: partial internal transcribed spacer 1
Source: RNAcentral
CCGAGUUUACAACUCCCAAACCCCUGUGAACAUACCACUAUCGUUGCCUCGGCGGAUCAGCCCGCUCCCGGUAAAACGGGACGGCCCGCCCGAGGACCCCUAAACUCUGUUUUUAUAGUGGAACUUCUGAGUAAAACAACAAAUAAAUCA